RNAcentral lists this ribosomal RNA (497 nucleotides) under uncultured bacterium. RNAcentral describes it as "partial 16S ribosomal RNA". It matches the Rfam family "Bacterial small subunit ribosomal RNA", at positions 28 to 507 of the family's 1533-position model. The record is from RNAcentral.
GAUGAACGCUGGCGGCGUGCCUAAUACAUGCAAGUCGAGCGAACAGACGAGGAGCUUGCUCCUCUGACGUUAGCGGCGGACGGGUGAGGAACACGUGGAUAACCUACCUAUAAGACUGGGAUAACUUCGGGAAACCGGAGAUAAUACCGGAUAAUAUAUUGGACCGCAUGGUUCAAUAGUGAAAGACGGUUUUGCUGUCACUUGUAGAUGGAUCCGCGCCGCAUUAGCUAGUUGGUAAGGUAACGGCUUACCAAGGCAACGAUGCGUAGCCGACCUGAGAGGGAGAUCGGCCACAGUGGAACUGGGACACGGUCCAGGCUCCUACGGGAGGCAGCAGUAGCGAAUCUUCCGCAAUGGGCGAAAGCCUGACGCUGCAGCGCCGAGUGAGUGAUGAAGGUCUCCGGAUCGGAAAACUCUGUUAUUAGGGAAGACCAAAUGUGUAAGUAACUGUGCACGUCUUGACGGUACCUAAACAGAAAGCCACGGCUAACUACGUG